This 289-nucleotide ribosomal RNA is filed under the name uncultured Flavobacterium sp. RNAcentral's name for it is "partial 16S ribosomal RNA". The record is from RNAcentral. Lineage: Bacteria; Pseudomonadati; Bacteroidota; Flavobacteriia; Flavobacteriales; Flavobacteriaceae.
CUACCCGGGUUUCUAAUCCUGUUCGCUCCCCACGCUUUCGUCCAUCAGCGUCAAUCCACUGUUAGUAACCUGCCUUCGCAAUGGGUAUUCCAUGUAAUAUCUAAGCAUUUCACCGCUACACUACAUAUUCUAGUUACUUCACAAUAAUUCAAGUCCUACAGUAUCAAUGGCAGUUCGACAGUUGAGCUGCCGGAUUUCACCACUGACUUAUAAAACCGCCUACGGACCCUUUAAACCCAAUGAUUCCGGAUAACGCUUGGAUCCUCCGUAUUACCGCGGCUGCUGGCAC